Molecule: transfer RNA, 74 nt
Filed under: Spirosomataceae bacterium TFI 002
Lineage: Bacteria; Pseudomonadati; Bacteroidota; Cytophagia; Cytophagales; Spirosomataceae
Rfam family: tRNA
About the family: Transfer RNA (tRNA) molecules are approximately 80 nucleotides in length. Their secondary structure includes four short double-helical elements and three loops (D, anti-codon, and T loops).
Source: Rfam by way of RNAcentral
GGCGGGGUAGCUCAGAUGGUUAGAGCGUCGGAUUCAUAACCCGGAGGUCACGGGUUCGAUUCCCGUCUCCGCUA